RNAcentral lists this ribosomal RNA (260 nucleotides) under uncultured archaeon. Its description in RNAcentral is "partial 16S ribosomal RNA". It matches the Rfam family "Archaeal small subunit ribosomal RNA", at positions 748 to 1008 of the family's 1478-position model. The record is from RNAcentral.
AGGGUGUAAACGCUGCAGACUUGGUGUUGGAAAUCCUUCGAGGGUAUUCAGUGCCGGAGAGAAGUUGUUAAGUCUGCUACUUGGGAGUACGUCCGCAAGGAUGAAACUUAAAGGAAUUGGCGGGGGAGCACCGCAACGGGAGGAGCGUGCGGUUUAAUUGGAUUUCAACACCGGAAAACUCACCAGGGAGACUGUUACAUGAAACCCAGACUAAUGAUCUUGGUUGAUUUUCAGAGAGGUGGUGCAUGGCGUCAGUGACU